GGUUCCACGUGAAAGUGCUGCCCCAAUUUCUCAUGCCACAUUCUCGUGUGAUAGCCAGCUGAUAUAUGCCAGUUUCUUGGAUGCAACUGUGUGCGUAUUCACUGCAGGGCACCUCCAUAUGCGAUGCCGUAUUAUUCCUUCAGCUUAUCUAUCACCCAGUAUUAGGUAUUUUUUGCUGCCUGCUAAGUUAUUUACUGCUUUAAUUUGAAGAUAUUCUGCAGUUCACUAUUUAAGACAAAAAACAUCGGUUUUCUUAUAGUUAUAGUUCCAUGCGCUAGAAUAGUGAAAUCGGUAUCAGAACAAUAUCGAGGCCGAAGUGCGACUCAUCACCAAAAGGGGGAAAAACCCAUAAGUUGGCCAUUCAUACAAAGAUAUCAUCGACCAAUGCAUGGGCUAUGUAGGAUGUAACGUACAUUUUAUGCAUACUAGAGGACUACAAUAUUCACUAUCCUAGAUCAUCUUUCUUUUUAAAAAGAAUUGAGAUGAGUAUUUCAAAAUAAUUUAUUUUGCAAUCACGUAUUUGUAAAAUCAUGUUAUUACAAUAAAAUGGGGUAUCUGAUUGCCAGGAUUGGCAUUUCUAGUAUCACUGGAGUAUCCCUCUGAAUACUAUGUUUCAGAUGUUUAAUUUUUGCAACUUCUCUGCAUUCCCGUGUCCAUACAUUAAGGGGUCGUUUGGUAGAGUGAAUUAGAAAAAAUAAUGCUUGUAUUAGCCUUGUGUAUUACUAGUACCUUGUUUGGUACUCUUUUUCAACUUAUGUAUAACUAAGCAUUAGUUAUACACUCUAUUGUGUAUUAAGGUGUGCAUUGCUAAUACCAUAGAUUUCUAGGCAUUAGCAAUGCAAUGGUUUUAAUGCAUGCAUUAACAUGACAAAAGACUCAAUUACCCCUCAAAAACCUUUUUUACAUCUUUUCCACCAUAAAAGUGAAGGGUAUCUUUGUAAAUAAAUUUUUUAAUGCAAUACAUAUUAUUUUUAAUGCAUCAAACCAAACAAUGCAUUAAAAUAAUCUAUGUAUAAUUAAUGCAAGUAUAACUAAAACAUAGCAAGUAAUACUAAUACACUAUAUUUAGUAUUAUCCUUCUACACUCAACCAAACGACCCCCAAGUAAUUUAUGUGUCUGAUAUUCUCAGGAAGUCAUGUGAGGAUACAUAGUCAAUUAACCAAACAGAUUUCAUUUCUGAUAUUUGAAGUAAUUUUUCAUAAAACCUUGUCAUUUUUCUGCAGCAAUUCAAAUAUUCACCCAGUUGUAGUUGCAGCACAUCCACAAGAUCCAAACCAGUUUGCAUUAGGUCUGUCAGAUGGCAGUGUUCAUGUUUUUGAACCACUUGAAUCUGAAGGCAAAUGGGGAGUCCCUCCACCACUUGAAAAUGGAUCAGCAAAUGGUAUGCCCACCGCUCCAUCUAUUGGAGCUUCAGGCUCCGAUCAAGCACCAAGAUGACAAAGAAGCCUCUAAGCAAACAGUCUUGUGUCUUGUUUUGUUGAAUCUUGCCCAAAUUUCAGUUCAGACGGACGAGCAAAUGUUCGUUCUAGGAGACUAACCAGAAUCCUCCAAGUCAAAAGAUGAAGUGUAUGUAACACCCCAAAGAUUUGUUUUUCUUUGCAAUCGAAAGGGAAGGUGAAAUCUUCAGUGGAGCUAGGAGUCUCAGUGUAAUAGUCACAGCUUAAGAUUUGACUUGUUUUUUACACCAAUGUUGUGGCUUUCGUUUGUGGUAAUCUAUUAGCUACAGGACAUAAUUUAGCUCAGUACUCUCCAACAUGUAAAUUUCCAACUCGUGAGGUAAGAUGUAAUGUAAAAUGAACACUUUACUCUUUAUAUUCCUUAGUGUAGUGAGGAAUUCCUCCUAUCAGCUUUUUAUUUCGUAUGAUUCUUGAAUUGGAUUUUGGCAAGUCUCACCUCUUUAAGGGUCAACUUAUUAUGAACAACAAUCUGUGUUGUUUCUUUAAUAUCCAGUGACUGUCAUAACUGCUUCAAUCAUUUUCCUCUGAAAAUGGUGCUAAUUCAAUAUCCUCUGAUUUGGCUCAUAGAAGAAUUUCAUGAGAAAAGACGACACUCAUGUCAAAUCUGAGCUCUGAGCGGAUAACCAUAUUAAUUAUCAAUUCUGCCACCCCGAUAAGUAACAAUAAAAAUAAAUGUGAUAUUUAGACUAACAAUACAAAUGAAUAACUGUAGUAUAGUUUAGUUGAUUAUGGAUGAGAAUUUGAUUCCUCACAUUGCUCCUUCGUUUUCCCUUCCCCAAAUGUUUUUUUUAACCUUAGCCUACCCCCCACCAGAAGCAGUAGCAUGAUGGCGCAACACCAAAUUCAGAAUUCAGAAGUAGUUGCUGUUUCUUACAAAUUCAUGACAUUCUUCAUCCACAUUUUCCCUCAUAUUCGCAAUACCAGAGAAGCUUCAUCUAUCAUCUAUGGCAUGGCAGACCAAGAUACACGCAAGAAUGACAUCUACACAAACUUCAACAGACAAAUUAUUUACGUACAAUUCAAAAAAUAACAUAUUUAGGGUUUUGAAAACAUCCGGGUGUUGUGCAAUUUGAUACAACUAAAAAUCGAUUUUUGGCAGCUGAUGACGAUUUCUCAAUUAAAUUAUGGGAUAUGGACCAUGUUCAACUCCUGACAAGUAUUGAUGCUGAUGGAGGCCUUCCAGUAAGUUUAUGUUGAGGUUCACUGAGAAAAUUGUGGUAUUGUAUACUAUAUUCUAACUGCUUUUUUCUUUUAUAUCAAUAAAUUAUUCAAGGCAAACCCUCUAAUUCGAUUCACCAAGGAUGGUUCUCUAUUGGCUGUUUCUGCUAAUGAAAAUGGGAUAAAGAUUUUGGCAGAUAAUGACGGUAUUUGCUUCCGGGGCAUCUGAAACUGCAAAGGUACUUGUUACUCAGUUAAUAUAAAUCUUGAGGUUCCAUUUUUUCUUUACACAAACAUGACCAGGUGUCCUUUGCUUUAAUAUCAUGCAGCCUACAGUAAAUCCAAUAUCCAUAGCAUCAGCAAAUAAUUCUGGAUUUGCAGAUAGGGUGGCCUCUGUUGUUGGCAUCAGUGGAAUGGUUUGUAAAUUUAACUCCCAUAAUGUGAUUUGGAAUAACUUCUUGUUUGUUGUCAUCAGGGCGCAUGUUCAUGGAGAAAAUAUAUAUAAGCAUACAAACUCACAUUAUAAUUGUAGUUGUAUAUAGUCAAUUUUUUUUCACCUUUUAUCUUUUAAUUAAUUAAUACUGGUAUAACCUUUUCUCACUUGUUUAAAUCUCAUUUUUUGUUUACCAUUAUGUGUUGUUUUAUUCGUAUCGUUUAUAUUUAUAAAAUUCAAUGCAACAAAAUCUUUUUAUAAUUUCAUGCGUAUCAAGCAGUUGUUGAAUAAAAGUAUAGUAGAAACUGUACUUAAAUUAAACUAACAUAUAUCUUCCUUAUAAUGCUAAAUACAAUAUCUGUAGCAUCAGCAAACAAUUCUGCAGAUAGGGUGGACUGGCCUCUGUGUUGGCAUCAGUGGAAUGGUUUGCAAAUUUAACCCCCUAAAUGUGAUUUGGAAAUAAGUUCUUGUUUGUUGUUAUCAGGUCACAGGUCCAUGGAAAAAAUAUAUAUGAAACAUACUUCACUUUUUCCAUAAACUAGUUUUUGGACACGUGCAUUGCAAGUGUUUCUCAUGGUAAUUACUAAGUAAUUAACAAAUCACGUUAUAAUUUGUAGUUGUAUAUAGUCAAACUUUUUCACCUUUUGUCUCAAGAACCAGAUUAAUAUGUGCAUUUAAUAGUUGUUCUAUGUUCACUGUUUCAAAACCAAUGCCUUUGAUUUGAUUUAUAUGAAAUAGCAAGGUUGCAUAUUAGAAACAACCAUCGUUGAAAUAGCAAGGUUGCACCACUGGAAAGGUUUUCAUUACUUUUAUAAAAGUAUAUAUAAUUAAGAGAAAAAAAAUAAUAGCGAGUGCUUCUUAAUUUACUAACACUUAAAUAAAGAACAAUAUACAAUUUGAUGAAUGUCCAUAUGUUCUUACCUGAUGUGGGGUGCCCGUUUGAAGAUCCGGCUAAUUCAGAUUUGCUCAUGAAAGUUUCACUUUGAUAGUAAUCAUUGACAGUUCUCUAUUCCCAAAGUUCAAAUCCAGAAUUUUGUUAAGGGUGGAGGGGUACCUGCCGGCCCACCACAACAUUUGAUGGUAAUACUAACAGGAAUUAACACAGAAGAAAAUGAAAACAACAGCUUUAAUGGCAUUCCUUUGUUGUUUAUUCUGGAAAAUUCUUAUAUUACAAGCUACUUCUCUUUCCUCCAUUGUUUAAAUACCGAUUGUGAGAUAAGACAAAUUUAGAUGAAAGUAAACUUUUCAAAGGUAAUGCUUAUAUAUAAAAAUCUUUCUAUUUUAAAGAGAAGAAAUUAUUUUUCAUGUUAUUCUGCACAUUUCUUAGAUUAAUCUCACCAAAUAUUUAUUCCUUGUAGGCUGUAGUGAUAUUAGGGCUGUUGGAAAGCAAGGUAUGGGUGGAGUAUUUAUCUUCCACUUUUUCCUGUCUAUAUUUUUCCAAAUGAUAAAAAUGAAAGAGAUGGAAGCUUAUGUUUUUGCUUUUGCUGAAGAAGCUAGGGAGAGGGGACAAUAAUGGUAAAUUUGUAGGGAUAAGUCACGUGCAUGGCAUAUUUUCUGUUUGAAGCUGUUAGUUUUUGACAGAAAACUAAGAGAGGGAUGUAACUUGUAACUUCUAGGAUAGUUCAAGGAUGUUAUUUGUUCAUUGUUAUAAUAUGAGGAUGUAGUUUAAGUUUGGAUUAUAAUUGAGAGAUGUUUUUGGCCAUUUACUCUAAGUUGGUAUGUAAUGACUUCCUUGAACGGAUGAAACCAUUCCUUUUUUGUAUUCAUUACAAUUUCAGUUUUGGAGGUAAAAAAAGGCAUGUAAGAUUAAUGGUAUAAUAAUAACUUAUAUAAGCACUUAUUACAUUUUUUUGACGAAGUAAAUCAAAAGUUUAAAUUGUACUUCUCUGUGUGAUUCUUACAAUGUAUAUUUACAUAUUUACAAAACAAGGUAAUUGUAAUAAUGCUUGCACGAAGGGAAACUGUUGUUCAACUUUUGAUGGCUAUUUUGGUCUUUUUCCUUUUACCUUUUAAGGGAAUCAUUCCUCCUGUCAUUGACGCCUCGCCGUUCUUCAACAACUUUAGGGUUCCAAAUUGAACUUCAAAUCUGUUGAAUUAACUCCAAACAAUGGCGUCGCAUGUAAGUUCUUCUUUCCUUUUCAAUUUUAAGAUUUUCUUGUCUAAUAGUAAUCACUGUAUUUCAUUUGCAUAUCUGUAAUCAUAGAUUUUCUUUGUUAUUCAGUGUUUGUAACUAUAUGUUGUUCAAUUUGCCUCUGUAUCUCUUUUGCUCUCUUAUUUCCUUAUAUCGUGCUUUGAAUUCAAUUUUGCUUUUGAGCCGAUGGUCUAUCGAAAACCUCUCUACCCUCCCCAUACCCCACUUUGUGGGAUUGCACUGCAUAUGUUGUUGUUGUUGUAACUUUUAGGUUUGAGGCUUCCUACUUAUAGAAUAAGAUAGAUAUAUAAGAUGGAUAGAUAGAUACUCAUUAGGUUUUAAAAUGGAGGACACACCAAGAAGUCUUGUCUUGUCUGCUUUCAUGUCAAUAUCAUUUACUAACAUGUAUUUUACAUUCUACUGGCUUUGAUAGAAUGAAGAUGCAGGAAAUGUAACACCCCAGCUUAAUGUAGAGCCUAAUGACGAAUCUAAGAUGUGGAGGCUCACUGAAAUUAGAGAAUCAUCACAGUACCGGUCCUUGAAGCUUCCUGAAAAUCUUGGAGUGACUAAGGUAUUAUCCCCAUGUCUCUUGAUUCAUGAAAUAUCUUAUUGUGUUUGUUAUAUCAUUUUCAAAACUCGGAAACUUUUCCAUUGAACAUACAGAUAGCGGAUAAUUCAUGUAUAAAAUGAGAUGGAAGACUUUUUCAGUGAACAUGUUAAGGUUGGAAAUUUUAGUGUUUCUCACGAUGCCUUUGUGCACGAUCUGAUAUGAUCAAGGCACGUGACAUCAAAACAUGCCAUCAUCAAAUAAAAUUGUUAGUGUUAAGCUGAGUGGAAAUGAACCAUAUGAUCCAACAGUGUUGUGCUUCUCUUUUCAUAUGAAUGUGAGUUCUCCUGUUUGGGAGGGAAGGGUUCUUAGUUUCGCGUCCAUCUCUUUUCUCUAUCUUGGUCACCGGAUGUGAUUCUAUUGAUGUGAAAUUAAAAUUCCAAAGAAGGUGAACUUUCAGAAUGUCAUGGGAAGCUUAAGGCCUCCUAAAUGAGGUCUAGCACCUAUACAUUUUGUGUUUUAGUCUCUUUUCUUUUCCGUAAUAGAUUUUUCAACUUACAGUAAAGAGGAGUGGAUGUUCAAGUAUCACUUUCUGCACCUUCAGAGAUCCGUCUGUCGAUUUCCUUCGAGAUUGUCUAAUCAGAGCAGAAGGCCUCUAAAGUUUGUGUGCAAUGAUUUGACAACUUUAAUAGUGUCCAACUUUUGACUAGCAAUAGUAACUAAACGUCUGCAUGGUAUUUCAAGUUCACGUCUUGAGUGCUUUCUACUGAAUUGUAGCCAUGUUCCUUCCCCUUACCCCACAAUCUGGAAGCUGUUGUGUUCCGACUUUCUCUGACUGCACAACAUGGAUGUGAGGGCAUUGUAAUCAGAAUAUCAGAUAUUGAACAGAAAAUUUCACAGUGAAUUCUUACUAGGAAACAAUACUUAGCUGGAGAGUUUGUUUAGUUGUCAAUAUUUGUUCCCUGGUUUCAACUGUAUUAGUUUUGAUGAUACAGUUUCUGGUUAUGAUUCAAUUUGUUUACUCCAGAUAUCAAGCUUAAUAUAUACGAGCUCUGGUAAUGUUAUCUUAGCAUUAGCAUCAAAUGCUAUUCACCUGCUUUGGAAGUGGCAAAAAAAUGAGCGCAAUUCAAAGGGCAAGGUAAAUUGGACACAAAAAUCGUGGCUUUCCUCCAUUUUGUACAGAAGUGAUUCUGAGAAUUGUGUCAAUCUUUGUUUAGGCCACGGCCAGUGUUUCACCACAACUGUGGCAACCUUCAAGUGGCAUCUUAAUGACAAAUGAUGUGCACGAACCAAACCAUGAGGAAGCUGUCUGUUGCUUUGCUUUGUCCAAGAAUGAUGCCUAUGUGAUAUCAACAUCUGGUGGAAGGAUGUCCUUGUUCAACAUGAUGGCAUUCAAGGUAUUACAAGAUUUUCUUUUUAUUUCUACCCUUGACUCAAAGAUCCUGUGCUGAAUUAUUAUCUUAUGGAUGCAGAGAGUGAGAACUUUCAUGCCUCCACCUCCAGCAGCAACUUAUAUUGUUUUCCAUCCUCAAGAUAACAACAUUAUCGCUAUUGGCAUGGGUGAUUCUACCAUCCAGAUAUAUAAUGUCCGACUGGAUGUGGUAUGAUUAAGAUAAACAAGAAGUUUUUGUUGUUAUUGUCAGUCAUCAGAAAAUGUAAUGUUCUUGGCCCAGUUACCAUAUAUUGUUAUUGACUAGAUCUGAGUCUCUUGAUGAAGGUUAAAAUCAAGCUUAAAGGCCACUCUAAAAGGAUAACUGGCCUUGCCUUCUCUCAUGUGCUCAAUGUGCUAGUUUCCUCAGGAGCUGAUUCUCAGGUUAAUGACUUAUAUGCUUGGCUAUCAUGUCGUAUUUGACUUACUUCUCAGUGUUUUGUUAAACUAUUCUCACAAUUAAUGUGGAAAAUACAUGUGUAUAAUAGAUUGCAUUUUCUCUCCUAACGAUUUUGCAUAUUGUGCAUCAUACACUCUCCAUCCCAUUCAAUGUUAAGCCAAUCAAAUAGGCAUGGGAAUUAGAAGUAAUUUCACUGCAUGUCAUAUUUGAUGAUGAUAAAGGUGAAAAUUUUGAAUAAUCAAACAUGAAGUUGUUGUUUUGAAAGUGUUUCAAGCAUUUUGGAAGAAAACAAAAUCUAAACUAUAUAGCCUACAGAUGAGCCAAGUAUAUUGUAGGUUAUCUCCUUUUGCAUAAUCUCCUCUCUGCAGUCAUGAAUCAUGAUUAGUUUUUGGAUUUUUAACGUCUUUUACUGGUAACUAAUGCUAAGCCUACAUCCACAUCUCAAAUGAUCAUUAAUCUGUAAAAAAUUACACUCUGCAUUUCUGACACUCUUUAAAGGGAUAAUUAUUUAUAUUUCUCUUUGCUCUUUCUUAUCCUUUUGUAUUCAUCAACAUCAUCUGCUUUUGUACAGCUGUGUGUAUGGAGCACUGUUGGGUGGGAAAUGCAGAGGGCUAAAUCCUUGCAGUUACGGGGGCAAUCAAUAUCUCAAUCAGAUACCAGAGUGCAGUUUCAUCAGGAUCAAACUCAUUUCCUUGUUGUGCAUGAGGCACAGAUUGCAGUAUAUGAAACAGCAAAGUUGGAAUGUUUUAAGCAGGUUAGUCCUCUCCCGGACUACAGUUGGUUAUUAAAUGCAGUCAGAUCUCAACAACUAAUACUUUAUAUCUUCUUCUACAGUGGGUUCCGCGUGAAAGUGAUGCCCCAAUUUCUCAUGCCACAUACUCAUGUGAUAGCCAGCUUAUAUAUGCUAGUUUCUUGGAUGCAACUGUGUGCGUAUUCACUGCCGGGAACCUCCAUAUGCAAUGCUGCAUUAUUCCUUUUGCUUAUCUGUCACCCGGUAUCAGGUAUCUUUUGAAGCCAGCUAACUUAUUUAGGGGUCGUUUGGUAGGGUGUGUAAGAAUAAUGUUGUCAUUAGUAAUGCAAGCAUUAGUUAUGCCGAGAUUUUUUAAUAUGCAAUGUUUGGUUUGGUUCUUUAAAAAUAACACGUAUUGCAUUAUUUAAAAAAAAAAAAAUUGUUUACAAAUUACCCUCCAUCAAUAUGGUGGAAAGGACAUGGAAAAUGUUGAGGGACAAUUGUGUCUUUAACCAUUCGAAUGCAUGCAUUAGAACCCCUUGCAUUGCUAAUACCAUGAAUUUCUAUGUAUUGGUAAUACUUAGCAUAAUACCAAGUAGAGUGUAGUAUUAGUUAUACAUAUAUUGGAAGUGUAUCAAAAAAGGUACUAGUAAUACAUAAAACUAAGACAUGCAUUAUUUUUUCUAAUACACUCUACGAAACAACCUCUUACUGCUUUAAUUUUUAAGAUAUUUUGCUAUCCACUAUUGAAGAGAAGAAAACAUCAUUUUUCUUGUAGUUAGACUUUCAUGAGCUAUAAUAGUGAAAUUGGUAUCAGAACAAUAUCCAGUCCUGAAGUCUGAACUGCUACUAAUCACGGAAAGGUGAAAACCCCCCACAAACUUGGCCAUUGGUACAAAGAUAUGAACCAAUGCAUGGCUACAUUUGAACAUAACGUACAUUUAAUGCAUACAAGAGGACUACAAAAUUAACUAUCCUAGACCAUCUUGCUUUAAAAAAUUGACAUGAAUAUUUCAAAAGAAUUUCAUUUUGCAAUCAUGUAUUUGUAAAAUCAUGUUAUUACAAUGAAGUGGGGCAUCUGAUUGCCAGUAUGAACAUUUCUAGCAUCACUGGAGUAUCCCUCGGAAUAUUAUGUUUCAGGUGUUUGAUUUUUGCAACUUCUCUGCAUAUCCUCGUGUGCAUACAAUAAGUAAAUUUAUGUGUCUGAUAUCCUCAAGAAGUAAUGUCAGGAUACGUAGUCAAUUCACCAAACUGAUUUUAUCUCUGAUAUUUGAAGUAAUUUUUCAAUAACGUUGUCAUAUUUUUGCAGCAAUUCAAAUAUCCACCCAGUUGUAGUUGCAGCACAUCCAGAAGAUCCAAACCAAUUUGCAUUAGGUAUGUCAGAUGGUGGUGUUCAUGUUUUCGAACCACUUGAAUCUGAAGGCAAAUGGGGUGUCCCUCCACCACUUGAAAAUGGCUUUGCAGAAGGUGUACCAGCUGCUCCAUCUAUUGCAGCUUCAGGCUUCGAUCAAGCACCAACAUAACAAAGAAACCUCUAAGCAAACAGUCUCGUGUCUUGGUUUUUUUGGAUCUUACCCAAAUUCCAGUCAAACAUGAGAGGUGUAUGUAACGCCACAAAAAAUUGUGUUCUUUGACUUGGUUUUUACACCAAUGUUAUGCUUUUGUGUGUGGCAAUCCAUUUGCUACAGAACAUAGUUUAGCUCAGUACUCUCCAACAAUUUUUCCUUUCAGCUUUCUAAGAGCGAGUCCCUUUGACUUGUGACGUCUCCUCAACCUCAACUUAUUAUGAACAACAAUGUGUGUUGUUUCUUUUAUAUCUGGUGACUGUCAUAAUUGUUUUAAUCAUUUUCCCUUACAAUGGUGCUAAUUCAAUUAUCAGCACAAAAAAAGAGCUUGAUUCUCUGAUUUGGCUCAUAGAGAAUGGGCCAGAAUUUUGUGAGAAAAAGACAACUCACUCUCAUGCCAAAUGUGAUAUUAAGUUAUGAACUGAUGAUACAAAGAAAUUCUCAUCAAUCAUUAAACAAAAAUACCUUCAAAAGACUUAUCACAUAUUUCUCUUUCUAUAUGUAUUCAAAUAUUUUAUUUUAAUAUCACUCUUUAUUUUCAUGUAAAAUCAAUAUUAAUAGUAUUAUUACAUAUAGAAUUUUAUUUGUAAUACAUGCUUGAUAUACAAUUCUUAUAUCUAAAAUAUCACUGUAUAAAUAUAAUUAGUGGCAAAGUUGGAUUAUUGUUACACUAGUAAAACUAUCCGUGCUUCGCGCGGGAAUUUAACUUCAUGGAAUUUAUAAAAUAAUAUUUAAAACUUAUCCGUCAUUAAAACUAAAACAUUAUAUUAUCUUACAUACAAGAUUACGUAGUAACAAACAAUAAUAAUGUAAAGGAAAAUUAAAAUUAUUACAUCUUAUCAUUUAUUCUUUAAUAACAUAAGGCCAAACACAUAUGCAGACCCUUAAACUUGUCCCUAAAUUUCAUUUUGACACUUCAACUCAACUUUGUUUCAUUUUAACCCUUCAACUCCAAUUUUUAUGUUCCUUUUUGGCACUUCUUUCCAAAGAAUCAACAAAGUGGGAUGUGUGUACUUCACAUGCGAUUGUGAUAAAAAAUAAUGGAUGAACAUUGUUUUUUUUUAAAAUAUUUUUUUUUUAGAGUUUCUGUACAUUAUUGUGUGAAAAAAUAAUCGGCAAAAGUGUGUUGAUUUUUUUAAAAAACAAUUAGUUAAUUUAAAUAACAUCACAUAUAUUUUUUUUCAUAUCUAGUCUAUUUGGACUAACUCAAAUAUCAGCUUUCUAAUUUUUCAUUCAACUAAAUACGAGUAAAAAAAAACUCAUGUUCAUUGCUAAUUAAUAACACUACAAAAAAUGUUGAAACUCGAUAGACUUCGUUGGGUUGUCAUUGAUUUUUUUAAGAAAGAAAAUCGACACACUUUCGUUGGUUAUUUUUCACGGGAAAACUUUUAAAAAGAAAUUGUUACUUUUUUUAUAUAAAAAAUCAAUGAUAAUCCGUCAGUUUUAAUUUUUUACAAUAAUUAAUGGAUGAUCAUCGAUUUUAAAAUGCAAAUUGCAGUUGAAUAACAUAAAUAGAAAUAAAGAAAUCAUAAAAUUAGUAUUUUGUGUUAAAUGGUACAUAAAAGAAAUAGAGUUGAAGGGUAAUCUAUUAUUAUUUUAAAAAAAUACUUUUUUGUCUUUCACUCUCUUAGAGAAUGUGUGAUGCACACUCUCUGCCACAUCACUUAGAAGUGCCAAAAUGGAACAUAAAAAUUGGAGUUAAAGGGUUAAAAUGGAACAAGGUUGAGUUGGAGUGUCAAAAUGAAAUUUAGGGACAAGUUUAAGGGUCUGCAUAUGUGUUUGGCCAUAACAUAAUCAUCAUAAAUUAAUAACUGUAAAAAUACAUACCAUGAUAUGUAACAUAAGCAAUGGUGUCAGUGAGCCACUCAACAGGAGCAAAGAACACAAAUAUUUAAUUGUGAAGAAAAAGAAGAACAAGAGGUUCAAAAUUUUCGUUGUUUCAAAAUGAGAGGAAAUCCCUCUAUUUAUAGACAACAAAGGGUAGUGUGAACAAAUGUUUAUUGUGUCAUAUUAGAAAUGUUACAACUAUUUGGAAAAGUUGCAAAGUCGCAACUCUUCAUAAAAGUCGCAACUCUUCAUAAAAGUCGCAACUCUUCAUAAAAGUCGCAACUCUUCAUAAAAGUCGCAACUCUUCAUAAAAGUCGCAACUCUUCAUAAAAGUCGCAACUCUUCAUAAAAGUCGCAACUCUUCAUAAAAGUCGCAACUCUUCAUAAAAGUCGCAACUCUUCAUAAAAGUCGCAAUGUCACAACUUUCCAUGGAAGGGGAAGGUUGGUUUCGGAAAUAAAUAAAUUAAAAGGUAAUUCUGAUUUGUAAUGGCGUCACGUAGGUGAGCCUAAUGUUCUCUUUUUUUUUUUUAUAUAUAUAUAUAUAUAUAUAUAUAUGAUAUAUGAUAUGAUAUGAUAUAUGAUUCUUAAUAUAAAUUUAUGAAAUAAAUAUUCAUCGGAUAAAUUUAUUAUUUUGAAAGUACUUUUUAUAGAAAAAUAUUAGUAUUACAUAUAAUUUAUUAUUAUUUUUUACUACAUAUGCUUGGUAUACGCUUAUAUAUCUGAAAUAUACCAUGUAUCUUUAUGGUAUAAAUAUAAUUUAUAGAAAAUUCAUAUAUCAUUGUUAUAUUUUUUUUUAUAUAAAUUAACUAGAUAAAUAUUCAUGGUAAAAAUUAUUAUGACAAAAACACCUUUUGUUAAAAAAAAUAUUUAUUAAAUAUGAAUAUAUAUUUCUAAUAUAUACAUGGUAUAAAUUCUUUAUAUGUAAAAUAAAUUAUUUUUAUUUAUGAUAUAAAAUAUAGUAAUUUGUAGCAAAGUCUAAUUGGGGUGAAAUAAGAAUAAAGCACAAAAAUACAUCCAUAUUCAUCCAGCAGCAACAAAAAUGAUACAAAAGUGUAGCAUUCAUGAAAUAUUUUCAUAUCUCAACCUUACUGAAGCCGAAGCCUAACCAAAACCAGAACCAGAACCAGAACCGCCGAAGUAGCAUGACGGCGCAACACCAAUUCAGACAAGGAAGCUUUUCCGUUAUAGAGAAGAAGGCUUCAUCUAUGGCAUCACUGACGGAAGAAUCACAUCUACCCAAAUCUUUUAUUUACUUACAAUUCAAAAAAAUCACAAAUCUAGGGUUUCUGGAAACAUAGAUGGGUGUUGUGCAAUUUGAUACAACUAAAAAUCAAUUUGUGGAAGCGGUUGAUGAUUUCUCAAUCAAAUUCUGGGAUAUGGACCAUCUUCGUCUUCCAGUAAGUUUUAUUUUGAGGUUCACUGAGAAAAUUGUGGUGUUGUGUACACUAUAUUAAACUGAUAUUUCCUUUUAUAUCAAUGAAUAAAUUAUUCAAUGCAAUCCCUCUAAUUCGAUUCAUUUCUCUAUUUAGCCUGUUUCUGCUAAUGAAAAUGUGAUAAAGGUUUUGGCAAACAAUGAAGGUAUUAGCUUCCAGGGGAUCUGGAACUAAAUCUUAGGAUUCCAUUUUUUUCUUUACACAAACAUGACCAGGUGUCCUUUGCUAUAAUAUCACGCAGCCUACAGUAAAUCCAAUAUCUGUAGCAUCAGCACACAAAUUCUGGAUUUGCAGAUAGGUGGCCUCUUUUGUUGGCAUCAGUGGAAUGGUUUGUAAAUUUAACUCCCAAAGGUGAGUGUCUAGCCUCCUCCAAAAGGUGUGUGCCUAGCCUCUCGCCUUGCUGCUAGGUGAGGCAGACCCUUGUUGGCUUUUUGUCGCCUUUCGCCAUCCAAAACAUUGAACGUUGGCUAUGGUUGUGAAUAUUUCACGUUUUUGCCUGAUCUUUAUGAACUUGUAGCCUCCUUUUUAUAAUUUCGUACGUAUCAAGAAGUUGUUGAAUUAUAGUAGAAACAAUACAAAAAUUAAAAUAGCAUAUAUCUUCCUUAGAAUGAAUGCUUAAUAGACUGUUGUCAAGUUAAUAUUACACAUAUGCAAGAAGUGUUAGUAAUUUAUGAUAAACAUAUAGUUAAUAAUUACUGAAAUUAAAAAAACAAUAAUUAAUGAUAUCUUUACAGUCUAAAUGGUGUCUGCCUACAAGUAAAUUACAUUUAGAUUUUUUUUUACCUCUUCUCGUAAUCUUAGAAUCAAGAAAACAUGAAGGGAUAUUUGUAGAAAUCCUUUAACUCAAAAUUAUGCAAAAAAAUAGAAAGAAGAAGUAAAUAGCUAAAAAAUGAGAUGCAGUUUUAGUAGUUUCAAAAAAAAAAAGUGAUACAUUUUUAGUAGUAGUCAUGAUUGUGAAUGGACCAUGCAACAAAAUUGCUUGAAGACAUACAAUCUACAAAUGAUGAAGUAACAGCAAGAGGAAACAUUUUUACCAAAUAACAGAAGCAGAAAACCUAAGAGAUAAGAAAGUAACAACAAUUUUUUUUUGUGUAUUUCAUGAUUCCAAGUGAACCAAACAUACCUUCACCACAAAAAGCUUUAUUCUCAGCCCUUUUUUGUUUGUAAUCACUACCCUUAAUAGAAUCGCAUCCGGUGACCAAGAUAGAGAAAAGAGACAACACAAAAUUAAGAGCCAAGCAGGAGGAGAACUCAUAUCCUGAAUGGAAAGAUAAGCACAACACUGUUGGAUCACAUGGUUCAUUUACAAUCAACUUAACACUAGCAGUUUCAUUUGCUGAUAAAUGCCACGGGACUUGAUCAUGUCAUAUUGUGCACAAAGGCGAUGUGAGAAACAUUGAAAUUUCCAACCCUAAAACCUGAAGGAGGACAAGCUAUGGUUUAAUGUGCAUCAGUUGGUAUCUUCAAUGAAGAGUCUGUUAUCUCAUUUUAUACAUGUAUUGUCUCCUAUAUUAUCUCAUUUUUUAUUAUCUACUAUGUUAUCUCACUUUAUACAUGUAUUAUCUGCUAUGUUAUCUCACUUUAUACGUGUAUUUCUGCUAUGUUAUCUCAUUUUACACAUGUAUUAUCUGCUAUCAAUAUGCUCAAUGGAAAGGUUUCCAAGUAUUGAAAAUGAGAUAACACUUACAAUUAGAUAUUUCAUGAAUCAAGAAACUUGGAAUUUUACCUUUAGUAACUCUGAGAUUGAAGCUUCAAGGAUCUGAGCUUCAAGGAUCUGCACUGUGAUGAUUCACUAGUUUCAGUGAGCUUUCAUAUCUUGGAUUUGUCAUUAGGUUUUUCAUUAAUCCGGGUGUUACAUUUAUUGCAUCCAGUCUUACAAAGCCAAUAGAAUGUAAAAUACAUAUUAGUAGAUGAAAUUGAUAUGAAAAUCGGACAAGAUUUCUUUGUGUAUCCUCCACUUUUAAAUAAAAUGAGUGUCUAUUUAUCUAUCUAUCUUAUUCUAUAAGUAGGAAACCUCAAACUUAAAAGUUACGGCAACAACAAACAUAUCCUGUGCAAUCCCAAAAAGAGGGGUCUACGGAGGAUAAAAUGUAUGCAUACCUUACCACUACCUCUAUGGGUAGAGAGGUUGUUUCCGAUAGACUAUUGGUUCAAAAGAAAAGUGGAUUUUGAAACAUGAUUAUAUAAGGAAAUAAGAGAGCAAAAGAGAUACAAAGAAAAUAUUUGACUACAAAUAAGGUAAUGAAAUGAAGUAAUUAUUGUUAAACAAGAAAACCCUAGAAAUUGAAAAGGAAAAAAGAAGUUACAUGAGAUGCCAUUGAUGGAAUUAAUUCAAUAGGCUUAAAGUUCAACAACUUUAGGGUUCCAAAUUGAACUUUAAACCUGUUGAAUUAACUCCAUCAAUGGCGUCUCAUGUAACUUUUUUUUUCUUUUUCAAUUUCUAUGGUUUUUUUGUCCAAUAGUAAUUAUUGUGUUUCAUUUCCUUAUCCGUUAUCAUAUAUUUUCUUUGUUAUUACCGUUUAUUACUAUUUGUUGCUCUAUUUGCUUUGUAUCUCUUUUGCGCCCUUAUUUCCUUAUAAUCGUGCUUCGAAUUCAACUUUUCUUUUGAGCCGAUGAUCUAUCGAUAACAACCUCUCUACCCCCAUAAGUAUAGAGUCAUAGGGGUAAGGUCUGCAUACAUCUUACCCUCCCCAGAUCCCACUUUGUGAAAUUGCACUGGUGUGUUGUUGUUGUUACUAUUUACAGUAUUUAGUUUGAGAGGCUUCCUACUUAUAAAAAAAGAUAGAUAGAUACUCAUUAGGUUUAAAAGUGGAAGACACACUAAGAAGUCUUGCGUGCUUUUCAUGUCAAUAUCAUCUACUAAUAUGUAUUUUUUAUAGACCCCGAAUUAAUGAAGAACUUAAUGACAAAUCCAAGAUAUGGAAGCUCAAAGUAAUUAGUGAUCCGUCACAGUGUCGGUCCUUGAAGCUUCUUGAGAAUCUUGGAGUGACUAAGGUAUAAUCCCCAUGUCUCUUGAUUCAUGAAAUAUCUAAUUGUGUUUGUUAUCUCAUGAAAUAUCCUCCUUCAGGUUUUAAGGUUGGAAACUUUAAUAUUUCUCACAACACCUUUUUGCACAAUCUGAGAUGAUCAAGGUGUGUAACAUCAGAACAUGCCAUCAGCAAAUAAAAUUGUUCGUGUUAAGUUUAGUGGAAAUGAACCAUAUGAUCCAGCAGUGUUGUGCUUCUCUUUUCAUAUGAGUGUGAGUUCUCCUCCUGUUUGGGAGGGAAGGGGUCUUAGUUUCGCGACAUCUCUUUUUUCUAUCUUGAUUCUAUUGAAGUGAAAUUAAAAUUUUAAAAAAGGUGAUCUUUCAGAACGUCAUGGGAAGCUUAAGGCCUCCUAAACGAGGUCUAGCACCUACACAUUAUGUGUUCUAGUCUCUUUUCUUUUCCCUAAUAGGUUUUUCAACUUAUAGUAAAGAAGAGUUGAUGAUCAUUUUCUGCACCUUCAGAGAUCCUUCUGUCUUUAUCCUUAUAGAUUGUCUAGAUCAGAGCAAAAGGCCGCUAAUGUUUGUGCGCAAUGAUUUGACAACUUUAAUGGUGUCCAACUUUGGACUAGCAAUAGUAACUAAACGUCUGCUUGGUAUUUCAAGUUCACAUCUUAAAUGCUUUCUACUGAAUUUUAGCCAUGUUCCUUCCCCUUACCCCACAAUUUGGAAGCUGUUGUAUCUCUGUGACUGCACAACAUGGAUGUGAGGACAUUGUAAUCAGGUAUUGAACAGAAAAUUUCACAGUGAACUCUUACUAGGAAAUAAUGCUUAGCUGGAGAGUUUGUUUAGUUAUCAAUAUUUCUUCCCUGGUUUGUUUCAACUGUGUUAGUUUUGAUGAUUCAGUUUCUGAUUAUGAUUCAAUUUGCUUACUCCAGAUAUCAAGGUUAAUAUAUACAAACUCUGGUGAUGCCAUCUUAGUACUAGCAUUGAAUGCUAUUAACCUGCUUUGGAAGUGGCUAAGAAAUGAGCGCAAUUCAAGGGGCAAGGUAAAUGGACACCAAAAUUGUGGCUUUCCUCCAUUUUGUACGGAAGUGAUUAUGAGGAUUGUGUCAAUCUUUGUUUAGGCAACAACCAGUGUUUCACCAGUACUGUGGCAACCUUCAAGUGGCAUCUUAAUGACAAAUGAUGUGCAAGAACCAAACCAUGAGGAAGCUGUCUCCUGCUUUGCUUUGUCCAAAAUGCUUGCUAUGUGAUAUCAACAUCUGGUGGAAAGAUCUCCUUGUUCAACAUGAUGACGUUCAAGGUAUAACAAGAUUGUCUUCUUUUUAUUUCUACCCUUGACUCAAAGAUCCUGUGCUGAAUUAUUAUCUUAUGGAUGCAGAGAGUGAGAACUUUCAUGCCUCCACCUCCAGCAGCAACUUAUAUUGCCUUCCAUCAUCAAGAUAACAACAUCAUCGCUAUUGGCAUGGAUAAUUCUACCAUCCAGAUAUAUAAUGUCCACUGGAUGAGGUAUGAUAAAGAUAAAGACGAAGUUUUUGUUGUUAUUGGUAGUCAUCUGAUUUCAUGUUUUGGGCCAGUUACCAUAUGUUGUUAUAUAGUAGAUGUCAAUCUCUUGUUGAAGGUUAAAAGCAAGCUUAAAGGGCACUCUAAAAGGAUAACUGGCAUCGCCUUCUCUCAUUUGCUCAAUGUGCUAGUUUCCUUAGGAGCUGAUUCUCAGGUUAAUGACUUAUAUGCUUGGCUAUCAUGUAGUAUUUGACUUACUUCUCAGUGUUUUGUAAAACUAUUCUCACAAUAAUUUGGAAAAUAUGUGUGUGAUAGAUUGCUUUAUUUUCUCCCAAAGAUUGUGCAUAUAGUGCAUCAUACACUCUCCAUCCUAUUCAAUGUUGAGCCAAUCGAAUAGGCAUGGGAAUUAGAAGUAAUUUCGCUGCAUGUCAUAUUUGACGAUGAUAAAGGUAGAUGAAUAAUAAGAUCCUCCCAUGCUCAAAAUAAAGCUGAAUGAAUUCUGGUUGUUUUGAAAAUUUUGAAUUAUCAGAUAUGAAGUUGUUUUGAAAGUGUUUCAAGCAUUUUGGAAGACACCAAAAUCUAAACUAUAUAGCCUACGGAUGAGCUGAGUAUAUUGCAGGUUAUCUCUUUUGCAUAAUCUCUCUGCAGUCAUGAUUAAUUUUUGGAUUUUUAAUGUCUUUUACUGGUAACAAAUGCUAAGCACAUCCACAUCUCAAAUGAUCAUUAAUCUAGAAGAAAAAUUCACUCUGCAUUUCUGACACUCUUUAAAGGGGUUAUUAUUUAUAUUUUUCUUUGCUCUUUCUUAUCCUUUUGUAUUCAUCAACAUCAUCUGCUUUUGUACAGCUGUGUAUGGAGCACUGUUGGGAGGGAAAUGCAGAGGGCUAGAUCCUUGCAGCUAUGGGGGUGAUCGAUAUCUCAAUCAGAUACCAGAGCACAGUUUCAUCAGGAUCAAACUCAUUUUUUGUUGUGCAUGAGGCACAGAUUGCAAUAUAUGAAACAACAAAGUUGAAAUGUUUAAAGCAUGUAAGUCCUCUCCCGGACUACAGUUGGUUAUUAAAUGCCGUCAGAUCUCAAAAACUAAUACAUUAUAUCUAUUUCUACAGUGGGUUCCGCGCUAACCCCAAUUUCUCAUGUGAUAGCCAGCUGAUACAUGCCAGUUUCUUGGAUGCAACUGUGUGCAUAUUCACUGCAGGGCACCUCCAUAUGCGAUGCCGGUAUUAUUCCUUCAGCUUAUUUUUCACCCAGUAUGAGGUAUUUUUUGCUGCCUGCUAACUUGUUUACUGCUUUAAUUUAAGAUAUUCUGCAAUCCACUAUUGAAGACAAAAAACGUCAUUUUUCUUAUUGUUAGAUUUUCGUGACCUAGAAUAGUGAAAUCGGUAUCAGAACAACAUCCAGUCCUGAAGUUUGAACUGCAACUCAUCACGGGAAGGGGGGGAAAACCCUCAAACUUGGCAAUUGGUAAAAAGAUAU
RNAcentral lists this long non-coding RNA (19050 nucleotides) under Solanum tuberosum (potato). Its description in RNAcentral is "long non-coding RNA (STUB_LNC004187)". Lineage: Eukaryota; Viridiplantae; Streptophyta; Magnoliopsida; Solanales; Solanaceae. The record is from RNAcentral.